This 1287-nucleotide ribosomal RNA is filed under the name metagenome. RNAcentral's name for it is "bacterial SSU rRNA". It matches the Rfam family "Bacterial small subunit ribosomal RNA", at positions 242 to 1520 of the family's 1533-position model. The record is from RNAcentral.
UAGCUAGUUGGUGAGGUGAUGGCUUACCAAGGCGACGAUCUGUAGCGGGUCUGAGAGGAUGAUCCGCCACACUGGAACUGAGACACGGUCCAGACUCCUACGGGAGGCAGCAGUGGGGAAUUUUGGACAAUGGGGGCAACCCUGAUCCAGCCAUGCCGCGUGAGUGAAGAAGGCCUUCGGGUUGUAAAGCUCUUUCGGCCGGGAAGAAAUCGCAUGGGCCAAUACCCUGUGUGGAUGACGGUACCGGAAUAAGAAGCACCGGCUAACUACGUGCCAGCAGCCGCGGUAAUACGUAGGGUGCGAGCGUUAAUCGGAAUUACUGGGCGUAAAGAGUGCGCAGGCGGUUUUGUAAGACAGGCGUGAAAUCCCCGGGCUUAACCUGGGAACUGCGUUUGUGACUGCAAGGCUAGAGUACGGCAGAGGGGGGUGGAAUUCCACGUGUAGCAGUGAAAUGCGUAGAGAUGUGGAGGAACACCAAUGGCGAAGGCAGCCCCCUGGGUCGAUACUGACGCUCAUGCACGAAAGCGUGGGUAGCAAACAGGAUUAGAUACCCUGGUAGUCCACGCCCUAAACUAUGUCAACUAGGUGUUGGGUGGGUAAAACCAUUUAGUACCGUAGCUAACGCGUGAAGUUGACCGCCUGGGGAGUACGGCCGCAAGGUUAAAACUCAAAGGAAUUGACGGGGACCCGCACAAGCGGUGGAUGAUGUGGAUUAAUUCGAUGCAACGCGAAAAACCUUACCUACCCUUGACAUGCCAGGAACUUGCCAGAGAUGGCUUGGUGCCCGAAAGGGAGCCUGGACACAGGUGCUGCAUGGCUGUCGUCAGCUCGUGUCGUGAGAUGUUGGGUUAAGUCCCGCAACGAGCGCAACCCUUGUCGUUAAUUGCCAUCAUUUAGUUGGGCACUUUAACGAGACUGCCGGUGACAAACCGGAGGAAGGUGGGGAUGACGUCAAGUCCUCAUGGCCCUUAUGGGUAGGGCUUCACACGUCAUACAAUGGUCGGUACAAAGGGUUGCCAAGCCGCGAGGCGGAGCCAAUCCCAGAAAGCCGAUCGUAGUCCGGAUUGCAGGCUGCAACUCGCCUGCAUGAAGUCGGAAUCGCUAGUAAUCGUGGAUCAGCAUGUCACGGUGAAUACGUUCCCGGGUCUUGUACACACCGCCCGUCACACCAUGGGAGCGGGUUCCGCCAGAAGUAGGUAGCCUAACCGCAAGGGGGGCGCUUACCACGGCGGGGUUCGUGACUGGGGUGAAGUCGUAACAAGGUAGCCGUAGGGGAACCUGCGGCUG